GGUGGAUUUGGAUAAAAGUGCGUU
This 24-nucleotide non-coding RNA is filed under the name Arabidopsis thaliana (thale cress). The record is from RNAcentral. Lineage: Eukaryota; Viridiplantae; Streptophyta; Magnoliopsida; Brassicales; Brassicaceae.